UUGAUCCUGGCUCAGAAUCAACGCUGGCGGCGUGCCUAACACAUGCGAGUCGAACGCAGUUACCUCGCAAGGGGUAACUGAGUGGCGAACGGGUGAGUAUCACGUGGGUGACCUACCUUCGAGUGGGGGAUAACGUCCCGAAAGGGACGUUAAUACCGCAUGAUAUCCCGCCUUUGAACAGGUGGAGAUCAAAGCUGGGUAUCGCAAGACCCGGCGCUUGAUGAGGGGCCCGCGUCCGAUUAGCUAGUUUGUGAGGUAACGGCUCACCAAGGCAACGAUCGGUAUCCGGCCUGAGAGGGUGGACGGACACACUGGGACUGAGACACGGCCCAGACUCCUACGGGAGGCAUCAGUGGGGAAUUGUUCACAAUGGGCGCAAGCCUGAUGACGCAACGCCGCUUGGAGGAUGAAGGUCUUCGGAUUGUAAACUCCUGUUGCCAGGGACGAACUGCUCCGACCUAAUACGUCGGAGUCUGACGGUACCUGGUGAGGAAGCCCCUGCUAACUCUGUGCCAGCAGCCGCGGUAAUAAGGU
RNAcentral lists this ribosomal RNA (534 nucleotides) under uncultured Acidobacteriota bacterium. RNAcentral's name for it is "bacterial SSU rRNA". It matches the Rfam family "Bacterial small subunit ribosomal RNA", at positions 13 to 529 of the family's 1533-position model. The record is from RNAcentral. Lineage: Bacteria; Pseudomonadati; Acidobacteriota.